CUACCCUCAAGCCCUGCUUGGUGUUGGCGGAUUGCCCCUCGCGGCAACCGCUGAAAUUGAACGGCGGUAGCACACUUGUCUCCUGUACAGUACAAUUCUUACAGCGGUCAUAGUGGGCGGACCAGCCCCAAACCCCAAAGAAAUAGCA
Molecule: unclassified non-coding RNA, 148 nt
Filed under: uncultured Hypocreales
Lineage: Eukaryota; Fungi; Ascomycota; Sordariomycetes; Hypocreales
Description: sequence contains ITS2
Source: RNAcentral